RNAcentral lists this transfer RNA (71 nucleotides) under Minisyncoccota bacterium. RNAcentral's name for it is "tRNA-Gln". It matches the Rfam family "tRNA". Rfam says of the family: Transfer RNA (tRNA) molecules are approximately 80 nucleotides in length. Their secondary structure includes four short double-helical elements and three loops (D, anti-codon, and T loops). Lineage: Bacteria; Bacillati; Minisyncoccota. The record is from RNAcentral.
UGAGGUGUCGUCUAAUGGUAGGACAACGGUUUCUGGUACCGUUUAUCUUGGUUCGAGUCCAGGCACCUCAG